UGGGGAAUAUUGGUCAAUGGACGAGAGUCUGAACCAGCCAAGUAGCGUGAAGGAUGACUGCCCUAUGGGUUGUAAACUUCUUUUAUAUGGGAAUAAAACAGGGUAUGCAUACCCUCUUGUAUGUACCAUAUGAAUAAGGAUCGGCUAACUCCGUGCCAGCAGCCGCGGUAAUACGGAGGAUCCGAGCGUUAUCCGGAUUUAUUGGGUUUAAAGGGAGCGUAGGUGGAUUGUUAAGUCAGUUGUGAAAGUUUGCGGCUCAACCGUAAAAUUGCAGUUGAAACUGGCAGUCUUGAGUACAGUAGAGGUGGGCGGAAUUCGUGGUGUAGCGGUGAAAUGCUUAGAUAUCACGAAGAACUCCGAUUGCGAAGGCAGCUCACUGGACUGCAACUGACGCUCAUGCACGAAAGCGUGGGUAUCGAACAGG
Molecule: ribosomal RNA, 424 nt
Filed under: uncultured bacterium
Lineage: Bacteria
Description: bacterial SSU rRNA
Rfam family: Bacterial small subunit ribosomal RNA
Source: RNAcentral